UCUAUUCUGCGCUUGUACUUCUGCCGACCUCCACGUACUCUGUCAAGACGCACUCCUGUGGGGAAAGACAGGCACUUCCUUACUGUUGAGAAUCUCCAAUGAAAGCUACCUCUUUGUGACAAAUCUAUUACAAAUGGGUGUUUGUAAUGUGUAGAACAUCAGAUGUUCAAACAAGCUGUGCUUUUUCAUCUAUUACAUGUACUUGAUAGCACCAUCUACUCUGCUACCUAGAAGUUUCAGGGAACCUUUGAUGGCGUCUACCUGGGAGACUGCGCUUCGUCCUUGACACAGCUUCUGCUGCAGAGUCCUGACCUCCAGGU
Molecule: long non-coding RNA, 320 nt
Organism: Balaenoptera acutorostrata (minke whale)
Lineage: Eukaryota; Metazoa; Chordata; Mammalia; Artiodactyla; Balaenopteridae
Exons: 3
Source: RefSeq, a predicted model, not a curated record